AUUGAACGCUGGCGGCAGGCCUAACACAUGCAAGUCGAACGGUAACAGGAAGCAGCUUGCUGCUUUGCUGACGAGUGGCGGACGGGUGAGUAAUGUCUGGGAAACUGCCUGAUGGAGGGGGAUAACUACUGGAAACGGUAGCUAAUACCGCAUAACGUCGCAAGACCAAAGAGGGGGACCUUAGGGCCUCUUGCCAUCGGAUGUGCCCAGAUGGGAUUAGCUAGUAGGUGGGGUAACGGCUCACCUAGGCGACGAUCCCUAGCUGGUCUGAGAGGAUGACCAGCCACACUGGAACUGAGACACGGUCCAGACUCCUACGGGAGGCAGCAGUGGGGAAUAUUGCACAAUGGGCGAAAGCCUGAUGCAGCCAUGCCGCGGGUAUGAAGAAGGCCUUCGGGUUGUAAAGUACUUUCAGCGGGGAGGAAGGGAGUAAAGUUAAUACCUUUGCUCAUUGACGUUACCCGCAGAAGAAGCACCGGCUAACUCCGUG
RNAcentral lists this ribosomal RNA (490 nucleotides) under uncultured bacterium. RNAcentral describes it as "partial 16S ribosomal RNA". It matches the Rfam family "Bacterial small subunit ribosomal RNA", at positions 30 to 507 of the family's 1533-position model. The record is from RNAcentral.